CACGUAGGGGGCGAGCGUUGUCCGGAAUCAUUGGGCGUAAAGAGCUCGUAGGCGGCUCAGUAAGUCGGGUGUGAAACCCCCAGGCUCAACCUGGGGACGCCACCCGAUACUGCUGUGGCUAGAGUCCAGUAGAGGAGUGUGGAAUUCCCGGUGUAGCGGUGAAAUGCGCAGAUAUCGGGAGGAACACCAACGGCGAAGGCAGCACUCUGGGCUGGAACUGACGCUGAGGAGCGAAAGCGUGGGUAGCAAACAGG
Molecule: ribosomal RNA, 254 nt
Filed under: uncultured bacterium
Lineage: Bacteria
Description: partial 16S ribosomal RNA
Rfam family: Bacterial small subunit ribosomal RNA
Source: RNAcentral